GUGGGGGCCGAGCGGGAGGUGCCGGCGGGGAGGGGAGCCCCCAGCCGGUCUCCGCUUCGUGUCGCCCAGCCCCAGACCGGGAGGGCGGGGGAGACGCUCAUCCCUCCUCUCCUGUCACUUCAUGCUUCCAUCCCACCUCCAUUCAUGCGUCCAUCCGUUCAUUCAUACGUUCGCGUUCACCCGGCGUUUACGCGUCGGGUCGCUCGGCGUUCAGAGCGCACCUACUGUGUGCUGGCGGGCCCUGGGCAGCUCCGGAGGGCCACAGCGCGGAGGGGGAUCCCAGCUCCACCUCUCCUCGCGGCCUCACCUAGCUGACGAGGAUGAUGGCACAGAUGAGGACACGGGGCUCACGUGGUCUAGUAACUUGCCCAAGGCCACACAGCAGACACAGAGCUGGGAUUCAGGCCUGUGAUGCUCUCCAGGUUUACCCACCUCCUUGCCAGACAGAGGCACCCGGUCCUCCAGACACGCCCAGGCUGGGGGGAGGCAGGAGGCUCGCAGCCCAGCAAGUGCACCAUGGCACGAAGAGAGCUGGGAAGUGGCCCAGAAGGACAGAUUGACUCAGCCAGGGCAUCAGGACAGACUUCCUAGAGCAGGAACACGGGGACCUGAAACAUGAGAAGGUAGCCUUGCAAGGGGGAUUGUGGAAGCCCCAGAGAAUUCCAGGUGGAGGAAACACAGUGACCUGCCCUGCCUCUCCAGAACGGGAGGGAGAAUGGAAGCUGAUCCUAAGGCACAACUCUGUCCCUGAGCAGGAUGGGUGAUGGGUCACAGCAUCCCUGCAAUUCCAGUGCUCCGUCCUGCCUGCCUGGGGUGCUGGCGAAGGUGCCCCAGAGAUGGCUGCUCUCCAGGAUGAAGGUUCCUUCAGAGUGGUUCCUUCUACCCUGAGGCAACAGAUACUUCUUCCUAUCAGACCCUCACCAGGGAGGAGGCUCUGGGUCCUCAGGUCCCUCUGGUCCUAAGUCUGGCUCCCUCAUUCAUGGCCUAAGGGUAAGAGAGGCCAGUUGUUUGGUCUGGGUAGAUGCUCAGAGAAAACUCCGGGAUCUCAAGAGGGGCCGGUGAUGCUCUGGAAGACCCACAGGGGCUGCGGUGGUUGGGUCCCUGAGCCCAACAGCACCGGUCUCUGAGAGCUCCUGGCAAAGCACCAGGGCCCAGGAGAGGAGUCCAGGCACCUCCUGUCAUCCAUCUCCAGACUGGGCACUCAGCCCUGGCACCUCCUCGGCCCAGGGAGACCUGGCCUGAAGCCUUUGCUUUGCCUGAGCUGUCCGUCAACUGGUGACACAUGACCUCUUUCCUGGAACCAGCCCGCCCCGGCCUUGUUGAUCUAAUCCUGAACCUCUGAGCCCCAGGUCCCUGUCACAUCCAUCUUUAAGUGCGAUCCCCUGGCACUGGCCCCAGGUGCUGCCCCCCCCCGUCCCUCCCAAUUCCAGUGGGACUUACAGUAAACUCUGUCAGGCUAGGACUAGAAUAAUCAAAAUAUAAUUGGGUUUUCAACUAGCUAAUGCUGCCACAGGCCUGGGUUGUGCAUGGGAACACUCUGAGCCGGGCAGAGGUGCCUUUUAGAAGAACAGAAAUCAGAAAACAAGCAGAGGUGUGCAGAGGGGUGCGGGGCAGGCCAGCAGGGGCUGCGUUGUGGGCCCGGAAUGGGGGACUCUGAGGGCCUAGUCUGGCAGGCCACUGAGGAGGCUAUGGUGUUUGGUCCCGGGGCCUAACAACACUGGCCUCUGGGAGCUCCUAGCAAAGUGUCACACCCACGGGAGAGCCCCGGGGACCACAUAUCCUCUGUUUCCAGGCCAGGUGCUCAGUCUUUGUCCCUCUCCUCAGGAACGGCUGGUCUUCCUUCAGGGUAUGGGUGGCUUGAAAAUGAUGGAUGUCCACUGAGAGA
This is a long non-coding RNA of Callorhinus ursinus (northern fur seal), 1885 nucleotides long. RefSeq lists it as uncharacterized. The record is from RefSeq and is a predicted model, not a curated record. Lineage: Eukaryota; Metazoa; Chordata; Mammalia; Carnivora; Otariidae.